CCUACGGGUGGCAGCAGUGAGGAAUAUUGGUCAAUGGGCGCAAGCCUGAACCAGCCAAGUCGCGUGAGGGAUGAAGGUCCUAUGGAUCGUAAACCUCUUUUAUAAGGGAGUAAAGUGUGGGACGUGUCCUGUUUUGUCUGUACCUUAUGAAUAAGGAUCGGCUAACUCCGUGCCAGCAGCCGCGGUAAUACGGAGGAUCCGAGCGUUAUCCGGAUUUAUUGGGGUUAAAGGGUGCGUAGGCGGCCUUGUAAGUCAGCGGGGAAAGUUUGUGGCUCAACCAUAGAAUUGCCGUUGAACCUGGGAGUUUUGAGUAGGUUUGAGGCAGGCGGAAUGCGUGGUGUAGCGGUGAAAUGCUUAGAUAUCACGCAGAACCCCGAUUGCGAAGGCAGCCUACC
RNAcentral lists this ribosomal RNA (395 nucleotides) under uncultured bacterium. Its description in RNAcentral is "partial 16S ribosomal RNA". It matches the Rfam family "Bacterial small subunit ribosomal RNA", at positions 338 to 730 of the family's 1533-position model. The record is from RNAcentral.